RNAcentral lists this ribosomal RNA (300 nucleotides) under Pseudomonas aeruginosa. RNAcentral's name for it is "bacterial SSU rRNA". It matches the Rfam family "Bacterial small subunit ribosomal RNA", at positions 1062 to 1362 of the family's 1533-position model. Lineage: Bacteria; Pseudomonadati; Pseudomonadota; Gammaproteobacteria; Pseudomonadales; Pseudomonadaceae. The record is from RNAcentral.
GUGUUGUGAAAUGUUGGGUUAAGUCCCGCAACGAGCGCAACCCUUAUCCUUUGUUGCCAGCGGUCCGGCCGGGAACUCAAAGGAGACUGCCAGUGAUAAACUGGAGGAAGGUGGGGAUGACGUCAAGUCAUCAUGGCCCUUACGACCAGGGCUACACACGUGCUACAAUGGCAUAUACAAAGAGAAGCGACCUCGCGAGAGCAAGCGGACCUCAUAAAGUAUGUCGUAGUCCGGAUUGGAGUCUGCAACUCGACUCCAUGAAGUCGGAAUCGCUAGUAAUCGUAGAUCAGAAUGCUACGG